AUUUAAAUAGUUUAAUAAAAAUAAUGAUUUGUGGGGUCAUAGAUAUAUCGUUUAGUAUUUUGAAUA
Molecule: transfer RNA, 66 nt
Filed under: Dolichosciara megumiae
Lineage: Eukaryota; Metazoa; Arthropoda; Insecta; Diptera; Sciaridae
Description: tRNA-His
Source: RNAcentral